UACAGGGGGUGCAAACGUUGCUCGGAAUUAUUGGGCGUAAAGCGCGCGUAGGCGGCCGCUUAAGUCGGAUGUGAAAGCCCCUGGCUCAACUGGGGAAGUGCACCCGAAACUGAGUGGCUUGAGUACUAAAGAGGGUCGCGGAAUUCCCGGUGUAGUGGUGAAAUGCGUAGAGAUCGGGAGGAACACCUGUGGCGAAGGCGGCCCCCUGGGCCGGCCCUGACACUGAGACGCGAAGGCGUGGGGAGCGAACAGG
Molecule: ribosomal RNA, 253 nt
Filed under: uncultured bacterium
Lineage: Bacteria
Description: partial 16S ribosomal RNA
Rfam family: Bacterial small subunit ribosomal RNA
Source: RNAcentral